UCUCUAUGCGGUGCCAGCAGCCGCGGUAAUACGGAGGGUGCAAGCGUUAUCCGGAUUUAUUGGGUUUAAAGGGUCCGUAGGCGGAUCUGUAAGUCAGUGGUGAAAUCUCAUAGCUUAACUAUGAAACUGCCAUUGAUACUGCAGGUCUUGAGUAAAGUAGAAGUGGCUGGAAUAAGUAGUGUAGCGGUGAAAUGCAAUAGAAUAUUAACUUAGAACACCAAUUGCGAAGGCAGGUCACUAUUGUUUUAACUGACGACUGAU
Molecule: ribosomal RNA, 261 nt
Filed under: uncultured bacterium
Lineage: Bacteria
Description: partial 16S ribosomal RNA
Rfam family: Bacterial small subunit ribosomal RNA
Source: RNAcentral